AAUGUACCGGGGCUAAACAUAUUACCGAAGCUGUGGAUUGUCCUUUGGACAAUGGUAGGAGAGCGUUCUAAGGGCGUUGAAGCAUGAUCGUAAGGACAUGUGGAGCGCUUAGAAGUGAGAAUGCCGGUGUGAGUAGCGAAAGACGGGUGAGAAUCCCGUCCACCGAUUGACUAAGGUUUCCAGAGGAAGGCUCGUCCGCUCUGGGUUAGUCGGGUCCUAAGCUGAGGCCGACAGGCGUAGGCGAUGGAUAACAGGUUGAUAUUCCUGUACCACCUAUAAUCGUUUUAAUCGAUGGGGGGACGCAGUAGGAUAGGCGAAGCGUGCGAUUGGAUUGCACGUCUAAGCAGUAAGGCUGAGUAUUAGGCAAAUCCGGUACUCGUUAAGGCUGAGCUGUGAUGGGGAGAAGACAUUGUGUCUUCGAGUCGUUGAUUUCACACUGCCGAGAAAAGCCUCUAGAUAGAAAAUAGGUGCCCGUACCGCAAACCGACACAGGUAGUCAAGAUGAGAAUUCUAAGGUG
RNAcentral lists this ribosomal RNA (518 nucleotides) under Vibrio cholerae O1. RNAcentral describes it as "partial 23S ribosomal RNA". It matches the Rfam family "Bacterial large subunit ribosomal RNA", at positions 1169 to 1688 of the family's 2925-position model. The record is from RNAcentral. Lineage: Bacteria; Pseudomonadati; Pseudomonadota; Gammaproteobacteria; Vibrionales; Vibrionaceae.